RNAcentral lists this ribosomal RNA (1137 nucleotides) under Lactiplantibacillus plantarum. RNAcentral describes it as "bacterial SSU rRNA". It matches the Rfam family "Bacterial small subunit ribosomal RNA", at positions 30 to 1130 of the family's 1533-position model. Lineage: Bacteria; Bacillati; Bacillota; Bacilli; Lactobacillales; Lactobacillaceae. The record is from RNAcentral.
CGAACGGCUGGCGGCGUGCCUAAUACAUGCAAGUCGAACGAACUCUGGUAUUGAUUGGUGCUUGCAUCAUGAUUUACAUUUGAGUGAGUGGCGAACUGGUGAGUAACACGUGGGAAACCUGCCCAGAAGCGGGGGAUAACACCUGGAAACAGAUGCUAAUACCGCAUAACAACUUGGACCGCAUGGUCCGAGUUUGAAAGAUGGCUUCGGCUAUCACUUUUGGAUGGUCCCGCGGCGUAUUAGCUAGAUGGUGGGGUAACGGCUCACCAUGGCAAUGAUACGUAGCCGACCUGAGAGGGUAAUCGGCCACAUUGGGACUGAGACACGGCCCAAACUCCUACGGGAGGCAGCAGUAGGGAAUCUUCCACAAUGGACGAAAGUCUGAUGGAGCAACGCCGCGUGAGUGAAGAAGGGUUUCGGCUCGUAAAACUCUGUUGUUAAAGAAGAACAUAUCUGAGAGUAACUGUUCAGGUAUUGACGGUAUUUAACCAGAAAGCCACGGCUAACUACGUGCCAGCAGCCGCGGUAAUACGUAGGUGGCAAGCGUUGUCCGGAUUUAUUGGGCGUAAAGCGAGCGCAGGCGGUUUUUUAAGUCUGAUGUGAAAGCCUUCGGCUCAACCGAAGAAGUGCAUCGGAAACUGGGAAACUUGAGUGCAGAAGAGGACAGUGGAACUCCAUGUGUAGCGGUGAAAUGCGUAGAUAUAUGGAAGAACACCAGUGGCGAAGGCGGCUGUCUGGUCUGUAACUGACGCUGAGGCUCGAAAGUAUGGGUAGCAAACAGGAUUAGAUACCCUGGUAGUCCAUACCGUAAACGAUGAAUGCUAAGUGUUGGAGGGUUUCCGCCCUUCAGUGCUGCAGCUAACGCAUUAAGCAUUCCGCCUGGGGAGUACGGCCGCAAGGCUGAAACUCAAAGGAAUUGACGGGGGCCCGCACAAGCGGUGGAGCAUGUGGUUUAAUUCGAAGCUACGCGAAGAACCUUACCAGGUCUUGACAUACUAUGCAAAUCUAAGAGAUUAGACGUUCCCUUCGGGGACAUGGAUACAGGUGGUGCAUGGUUGUCGUCAGCUCGUGUCGUGAGAUGUUGGGUUAAGUCCCGCAACGAGCGCAACCCUUAUUAUCAGUUGCCAGCAUUAAGUU